GGCUCCGCCCGGGGAGCNCCCGUCCCCACCCCUUCCCCCUCCAUCCUCCCUUCCCACGCAGCCCAGAGGAGCCCACCGCCACGCUCCCAGCCAGCCCGGAGCCCAACUUCGUUUCAAACAACAACAAAGCCACCAAAAUGGUUUUGUUUGGAGGAAAGUUUAUAAGAAACCCGGCUUGCCAGAUGCACGUUACUGGAGUCUGGAAAUAAAUCAGACUGGGCUGGGAAGAGUGGGAAUUUUAGGGAAAAAAAAACCACCAAAUCCACAAGAAAAUUCCAAGUUCCUCUCUGUGAUCAUCUUACUUCAGAUUCAUUGAGAGCUAUUGCUGUUGACCCUGGAUUAUCUCAGUUGAUCAGAGCAUGGAGCUGAUAACAGCACCGAGGCUGUGAGUUUGAUCCCUGUA
RNAcentral lists this long non-coding RNA (403 nucleotides) under Cyanistes caeruleus (blue tit). RNAcentral's name for it is "lncRNA (ENSCCEG00000020990.1)". The record is from RNAcentral. Lineage: Eukaryota; Metazoa; Chordata; Aves; Passeriformes; Paridae.